UUAUAGCCAUGACAAGGAUCGGUCUGAAGUUUUCUUCUUCGGCAAGAGUUUGAAACAAACGGAAAAAAACCAAUCAUACCAUAUUUCGUAUAUAUGCAGACGUUUAAAAGUAUCGAGGAGUAUUCUCAAUCUAUAUUCAAAUCAGAAAUCUCGAGCGAGAAGUAAUCGACGUUCCGCCCCCGGCAAACUGUUUAGCAAUACCAUAUGAAACCCAUUCCAUUAUAUAUAGUCCCGCAAUUUACAGAUUGGUACAUAAAUAAGCACUUCCCCCGUCAGGCCCACUUUCGUUUUGACACGGCACCCGGUAUGACCGUGAACCCGCACGUGAAGCGGGGUCUCCGCUGCUCAGCCGCCGUGUUUUGAGCAUUCUAGAGAACCCGACACUCUUAAAAAGCUGCCCGCAAACGCAUUUUCUUGCGCGCGUAUCUAGUUACCAGAAUGCACUGCAGCUCUCAGGUACCCCCGAGCUCGACCGGCACGAGUGGGAUGAGAGAGUGUAGCACGUCCGUUAUCAGCGGACG
This 521-nucleotide long non-coding RNA is filed under the name Eucalyptus grandis. RNAcentral's name for it is "long non-coding RNA (EGRA_LNC001584)". Lineage: Eukaryota; Viridiplantae; Streptophyta; Magnoliopsida; Myrtales; Myrtaceae. The record is from RNAcentral.